This 253-nucleotide ribosomal RNA is filed under the name uncultured bacterium. RNAcentral's name for it is "partial 16S ribosomal RNA". It matches the Rfam family "Bacterial small subunit ribosomal RNA", at positions 524 to 776 of the family's 1533-position model. The record is from RNAcentral.
UACGUAGGGGGCUAGCGUUGCUCGGAAUCACUGGGCGUAAAGGGUGCGUAGGCGGGUCUUUAAGUCAGGUGUGAAAUCCUGGAGCUCAACUCCAGAACUGCCUUUGAUACUGAAGAUCUUGAGUCCGGGAGAGGUGAGUGGAACUGCGAGUGUAGAGGUGAAAUUCGUAGAUAUUCGCAAGAACACCAGUGGCGAAGGCGGCUCACUGGCCCGGUACUGACGCUGAGGCACGAAAGCGUGGGGAGCAAACAGG